AAGACUUGGAAUAAAAUAUCUAAAAAGCCACAUGGAAAAUAAUUAAAAAAGGAGAAGAAAAUGUUUUUGUGGAAAAGCAUCUUGAAGAGAUUUUUGGGCCUUUUUGGCUCUCUAGGAAAAGUGAAAGAGUUGAGUUUACUUGGUCAAUAAAUGAAUGAAUACUUAGGCUUGUGGAACACAAAAACAUAUGAUAGAAAAGACUUGACGUUGUUUUUAAUUGAGCUUUGUUAAAAAUUUUGGGUUUAAUUGAAAUGUUUUAGAAUAUAUAUAUAUAUAUAUAUUAAGAUUCUAUGGUCAGGACAUCAUGACAAAAUCUAUCAUGACCAAAAAUGUGGUUUUUUAUUAAGCUUUUUUUUUGGCCGUUGGAUUAGAUCAAUGGCGCAGAUUAGUUUUCCUGAAUCUUAAAUUCCUUCUCAACAUAACUUUUCGAGCUUCCCUUCAUGUCCAGACACCAUCUCCUACCUCACAAAUUCAAUACCACAUAGAAGUCGAAGGAAACCUGUCCAUUCGAAAUCCAUCGCCUAGAGCCACUGCUCAUGGUAGAGAAUUACCCAUCGAAGGACAAAGGAAAAACUCAUUGAUAGAGAUGAAUCCAUGGUAGAAGACAAUUUUGAGGAAAAAGGAUGUUAAUUUGGGCAAAAGAAGGAGAAGCUAAACUUGACAAAACAGAUACACUGAUUGGUGAAACUCGUCAUUUAUCUUGGCAAGUUGAAAAAUCAAAUAGUACUCUUGAAGCAAUUUAGAAGAAUACUUAGAGGAGUCACGAAUAUGAAUUUAAGAUUGUUAUAUUUAUUCUAGUUUUGUUAUUUCUUUUGUUUAAAAUAUUUGGCUAGUGACCAUAUAUGUGGUUGUGGUUAAUCUAGUUUUGGCUACUUAACAUUUAGUUUCCUUCUGUUAACUUUUUUGAAGACUAUAUAUAUGGCAAAAAUGGUUUUAAGCCGCAAAACAAUGCCAAUUUCAUUCUUAUA
Molecule: long non-coding RNA, 968 nt
Organism: Ziziphus jujuba (common jujube)
Lineage: Eukaryota; Viridiplantae; Streptophyta; Magnoliopsida; Rosales; Rhamnaceae
Exons: 2
Source: RefSeq, a predicted model, not a curated record